This 460-nucleotide ribosomal RNA is filed under the name uncultured bacterium. RNAcentral describes it as "partial 16S ribosomal RNA". It matches the Rfam family "Bacterial small subunit ribosomal RNA", at positions 338 to 795 of the family's 1533-position model. The record is from RNAcentral.
CCUACGGGUGGCUGCAGUGAGGAAUAUUGGUCAAUGGACGAGAGUCUGAACCAGCCAAGUAGCGUGAAGGAUGACUGCCCUAUGGGUUGUAAACUUCUUUUAUAUGGGAAUAAAAUGUUCCACGUGUGGGAUUUUGUAUGUACCAUAUGAAUAAGGAUCGGCUAACUCCGUGCCAGCAGCCGCGGUAAUACGGAGGAUCCGAGCGUUAUCCGGAUUUAUUGGGUUUAAAGGGAGCGUAGGUGGGUUGUUAAGUCAGUUGUGAAAGUUUGUGGCUCAACCGUAAAAUUGCAGUUGAAACUGGCAGACUUGAGUACAGUAGAGGUGGGCGGAAUUCGUGGUGUAGCGGUGAAAUGCUUAGAUAUCACGAAGAACUCCGAUUGCGAAGGCAGCUUACUAAACUAUAACUGACACUGAGGCUCGAAAGUGUGGGUAUCAAACAGGAUUAGAUACCCGUGUAGUC